CAGAUGAAAAAAUUCGUAUACUAAUUCAACAUUACACACGAAGUACACUUGUGCGGCCUGGGGGUUGGAUCGGCGAGAUGGGCAGCCGGCGCUACAGCGCCGAGGCAUGCGCUUGGACCACCAGCAUCGUUGAUAGGGGCCAAGAUUUUCUUGAUCAAGAUACAAUACCAAUAAAAACACUUUCUUGAUCGACAUCAACACCCACGCCAUCAUGUCCAUCAUUUUGCUACACCAGUUAAAAAUUAUUGUAAAAUGUUUUGCACCUCAUAAAUAAUUCAAUGAACGUAGAUUUGUCACUAUCUAAGAAAGAACAAAAAAGGGCGUGUGCUUGAACUAUAUAUAAUUACUGUAAACAACAUGAAGCUUCACCCAUGAAAAUUCAACGAAAACAAAACUACACCAAAUUUAACAAUCGAAUCUAGCAAGUAUAAACCUUUUUAAAAUUCCAUAGGUCUAUCACUAUCUAAGAAAGAACAAAAUAGGGCGUCGACUUGACCCAAAAAAAUUAAACGAAAACAAAACUACACCAAAUAUAACAACCGAAAACAACAGAGAAUAGAAAUCACCGACACAAUUUCUUUGAACAAAACACAUUUGAAAUAAAAGAAAUUUAUGUUAAACCAAAAAAAAAAAAACAAAAGUAAGAAGGCGUAGAACACCAACCUAGUGUCUUUUGAACAUACGCCAUAAUGGAUUUCUUCUUGACCCUUCAGUGUUUUCUUCGCCGGAAUGUUGAAGAAUUGCACUGCAAAUAUAAUAUUUUUGGAGAGAUACUGGAGAUUCGUCGAAUAAAUUGGAAUGAAGUUCAAAUGAUUAAUGAUAUGACAGAUGCAAUUUACUCCCAGCAAUCAUUUGGAAUACGCUACAAAUCCGGGAUUUAGUAUGGUGAAUCAAUCGACGGGAAUAGUAAAGUACUAAUUUAACCUUGCCGAAUUUUUGUAUGUUAUUUAAUGAAUUAUAAAAUCAGCAAAAUAAUUAAAUCACACUCAAAUCUCGCCGUCUAUUUCCUGAAAUCUAAUGGUAAUUAUUUCUUCUCUAUUCUUAAUACUUAGGGCCUUCUCUAUAGAUACUAACCCUAUUCAAUACUAUCAUAUAUAAUUUAUAUACUACCUAAAAAAUAUCUUCUUCUUUUUUUAAUAAAAAAAAGUUUUAUCUGUAAAACCGGCCAAACCACUUCAUAGCAAUCAACUAAUAAGUAUGAAAAUUCAAAAUAUAGAAAUUUCCAAAGACGUAGGGCUUAUAAAUUUAACUAAAGGUGCUAAUAGAAUGUAAUUUUUAUUCUAAAAAAGAAACCUAAAAUACCUUCGGAAAAUAUAGUGCAUAUAUAGACUC
Molecule: long non-coding RNA, 1332 nt
Filed under: Salvia miltiorrhiza (redroot sage)
Lineage: Eukaryota; Viridiplantae; Streptophyta; Magnoliopsida; Lamiales; Lamiaceae
Description: long non-coding RNA (SMIL_LNC004780)
Source: RNAcentral